GGAAAUGACGCCAUAAUGCUGAGGAACCACUCCUGGCGUUGCGGAAGGUGGGGUGUGGGGCCGGAAGACCCUCCCCCCGCGUCUUCAGAGGAGCGCUGUUUCUGGAGGAGUUAGGGGAAGGAGGCUGCCUGGUAAGCCAGGAAAGGGGCUUCUGGCCGUUCUGUUGGAGCGCCUCUGACUGACUUCCCCCAUGUGUCCGUGUGGCCACACCGUGCUACUUUCAGAGGCAGUGGGCUUUUCGCUAAGGGAUAAAAAGAAGUAAAACCUUGCCUUUAGCGCAGCUCUCCUUCACUGGGCAGAUUGCUCUCCCUCCCCACUCUCCCAGGCCCAAAUUGGAUCUCAGCGCCUGGGAGCUCCAACUUUAGCAAGUGCGAAAUCCUGUCUUCGGUUUUGGAAUUUUCAUCCGCACAGACUAUAUCAGCCACGGAUAGGAUAUGUGAGAAUACCAGCAUGUCAAGGCUGGGAAUCAUCCUUAGGCAUCACCUAGCCAGUCCUGCCUCUCAUUUUAAGGUGAUCACAGGAUCUGGUUUGCCACUGAAAGGAAUCUUGAUGCUGACCACUUCACCUCGGAGAGCAUGAACUGCUCCCAUGCCUUCAAGAGUUUUAGUGGGUAACCAGGAUGGAACUGCGGUGUUGCUUGCAGGAGAAGCUUACUACUGGUUUCUACUUCUCCAACCUCAUUGGUGGCUAUGCAGGCACUGUCUCCAGACUGUCUAUAUUCAACCCAGUAUCCAAGAAUUUCUUUACCACCAUCACAUUCAGGUUUCUCCCACUGUAGAGUGACACUAUCUUUGGAUAUUGAAAGAAUCUCAAGUUCUCCUGGUUGGCUUGGUUUAUCUGAAAUAUUUUAAAAUAAUGAAAAGGGAGUCAGCUUUACUGGUGAAAUAAAAGGACCAAACAUGGCUUGCUUCUUUAAUUUAACCCCUUCUUCUGAAUUCCUUACCAAAUGGAUCUUUGCAAACAACUGGUUCAGAAGCAGGGCUGGUCUCACUCAGGCCAACAUCAUUCUGUGCGAUGAUGCGGAACUGAUACUCAGCAUCGGGAACAAGCCCUGUGACAGUGUACAUUGUGGUGGUGAUCUGAGUCUUGUUGUGUCUGACCCACUUGUCAGUGGAUGUCUCUUUGCGUUCGAUGUAGUAGCCUGUGACUCUAGAACCACCAUCAUCUUUGGGCCGGGACCAGGACAAGCUAACAGAACUCUUGGUUACAUCGAGUACUUCUGGAGGAUUGCUUGGAGGUUCUGGAGGAUCUGUAAAUAUAAGUGGAAAGCACACAUGUAUUAGAAUACAGUCCCAAGUAUUAUAAGCCAAUGACUUUCAUUUAAAAACAGAAAAGUGCUGAAAUAAUGUUUAUAAUUUUGUGGUUGAAAGGGCACUUACUCAAUGGUGUUUUUGGUGUGACUGGUUCCUCAGAUUUCAAGGGUUUGCUUAUGCCAAACUGGUUUUCUGCUGAAACACGGAAAUGGUAUUCUACAUUCUCUUUGAGGCCUUUUACCACCAGAGAUGUACCUCGGACUCUGGAAUCAAUGGUAUACCAGGCGGCUUUAGGCACUUCUCGUCUCUCGAGGAUGUAGCCUAAGAUGUCAGCACCACCAUCAUCAGCAGGAGGUCUCCAGCUGACCCUCACAGAGCGGACUUGGAUGUCAUCAUAUUCCAGUGGCCCUUCUGGACUGUUGGGACUUCCUAUCACCCUGACCUUGAUGUAGACAGCCUUCUUGCCACAUUUAUUUUCCAGAACCAGGUCAUAAGUGCCAGAAUCACCCCUGUCUGCUUCUUUGAUCACAAGCUCAGUGUGUGUUUCAGAUGUUGCAAUCAUGGCACGCUUACUAAUAUCCUGGCCUUCCUUGGUCCAUUUACAUAUUGGGAAUGGUUUUCCUUUGAUUGGUAUGCAGGCUCACCAGGUCCACCAGCAUUACAAGCUAGGACGCGGAACCUGUAUUCUGCACCCUGAGAAUCAGAGGUGGGGAGAGUGGUGGAAGGGCCUGUGGACUUACGGAUGCUGCUGCGACACUCUAUGACCUCAGACUGCAAGUAAGAGCCAAUCCCGAAGCGGUUUGUUGCAGCCACACGGAACACAUACUCAUUUCCUUCGGUGGCUGCCAUGAGAUAGUCAUGUGUUCAGGAGUAACAUCCAGAAUAUUAAUAGGACCUGUUGGUGGCCCAGGAACAUCAAGAACAGUAAGAUGUACGGCUACUGUUUUGCUACCGGCUGCAUUGGAAACUGUGAUUUGAUAUUCCCCAGUGUCUCUCCUUAAGCAGUUCUUAAUGAGAAUAGACGCCUUGAUGGCUCCUCUGGCAGUUCUUGAUGACCAUGGAUGAGCUAAUGGCUGUGGUCUCAAUGGUGGCUUCUUGAGGAGCAUGCAGAGAAAUUGCUUUAGCCUCUGAUAAAUAAAACAGACUGCGAGGAAAAUUACAGCGAGGAAAUUACAGACAUCAUCUCCUUUGAACAGGGAAAAGGUAACAGCCAGUAGCCAGUAAUUGGAGAGCCACCAUUGUCCAAAGGAGGAGUCCAG
RNAcentral lists this long non-coding RNA (2512 nucleotides) under Homo sapiens (human). RNAcentral describes it as "HSALNT0307556". Lineage: Eukaryota; Metazoa; Chordata; Mammalia; Primates; Hominidae. The record is from RNAcentral.